UUUAACUCGGCAAUAAACCUACAGAGAAUAAACUUUACACUCCUGUCACUUUGACAUGCCUCUCUCUACAUCCAGCUUGCAGGAGUGGUCCUCAGGCUUUUUGGAGGCUCUGACUAAACAGAGUUUCCUCAAGUUUGAUCCUCUUCAAGAUCCUAAACUUGGAUAGACACCUACACAAACAGCAAUGCAUCCUUUUCCAAUAGGAGGGGGAUGGAAGAGGUGAGGAAUGAAUCUAUUGAAUUUCAGAAAACCCAAAUGACUUGUUCAAGGCUACGUGACUAAUUGAGGAUGUGUGUGGGUGGCACCAGGAUCCAUAUUUGCUGAUGGUUGACCAACAGUCUCUCCACGCUACCACUUCUCAACUGCCCCUGAGCUUUCUCAGAAAUGACAGGAGUGUGUUAAGGAGGACACUGAUUUGUGGCUCGUGACUUUCAAGGAUUCUGUCAGUCCUCACCUAUAACAUGUUUAUCAGAAGAUACAGCUCAAGUGUUCUUAUACAGAGUUUGAUGAUGCACUGAAUUAUUUAAUAACUUUUAUCUCUAAAAAUUCACUUCAUGUGAACUCUUAUUCUUCUAUUAAAUCAUCCAUCGAUUAGACUAUUUAUUCCUGCCCUUAACCCACCCUCCCAAUAUUUACAGGUUUGUUAUGCUUAGUAAAGGGCCAGUACUAUGUAUUUUAUAAUCAAACCAAUUUCAAAUAGGAACUUCUCAGCACUUUUAGUUUCAACUGCAAUCUUAUGGCCAUACAUUUUUGUUUCAUAUUGAUUCACACAUGAAGGAUAGCUUUUGCCCUGGGUAAAGACAGGCUCAGCCAUGCUCAUUUUUUGGUUUUUACUAACACUCUCUAUGUGAUGCAGAGAGCACAGUGUUGUUUAUGCUGACAGCUGUGCGUGAAUAUUUUUACUAUUUUGAGAUGUGAACAGGUUGACUUUUUGGGUGUACAGGCAAGUGAGUACAUUGUUAUUGGCACAUUAGCACUUUCUUGCAGAUUAAUAAUAGAUUUUCUUCUUAAUUCCGACUUUUUUCAGUGAUACUACCAGAUCACAAAAUGUAUAAUCAUAUUUAAGUUCCAAAAUUUUUCACCAAAUGCCAUGAUGCAAAAAAUUUUUAAUGUAAUUUGUUAAGUGAUUAUUCAUAUGGCAGAUAGAAUCAAAGGUAGGAUAUUGCAGGAAAUAAUAUUUGAGCCACGUUCUUAGUCCCAACUCUCAAUUUUAUUUUAAGAAAGAUAUCUUCAGAAGCCGUUCCUUCAUUCAAGUGACUAGGAUACAAGCAUAACAGAAUUUCAGCUCACUAACAUGCACCUCCCUGAAAGCUAUCCAUUGGUCAAUAUAUGUUAUACAUUAAAGUUGGCCCAAGAAAACAAUUCAGCUUGUUCUACUAGUCAUGAAACUUAUUUUUAAAAUGUUAAUACGCCUUAUUUUUAGAGCAAUUGUAGGACUGUAGAAAUACUGCACAAAAGUACAGAGAGUUCCCAGGUAGCUCCCUCCCCUUGUUACCAAAAUGCUGGGGUUUCCAUCUAGGUCUUGCUUCUUGCCACACAGAAAGCCAUUCAUUGAGACAAUGAGUGUUACCAGGGAAGAAGGGUUUAUUCUGGUGCUGCAGCUGAAGGAAUUGGAGAUCAGUCUCAAAUCCAUCUCUAUAGCUGACUAAAACUAAGGGUUUAUAUAGCAUGGAAUAAUUGUAACCAUUUGUGGAAAAACAGAAAUUAGGGAGGGGUAAGGAGAAGAGUUGGACCACAUAUACUGCAGGUAAGAACGUAAAUUAGUUCAG
Saimiri boliviensis boliviensis (Bolivian squirrel monkey) is the source of this 1769-nucleotide long non-coding RNA. RefSeq lists it as uncharacterized. Lineage: Eukaryota; Metazoa; Chordata; Mammalia; Primates; Cebidae. The record is from RefSeq and is a predicted model, not a curated record.